Mytilus californianus (California mussel) is the source of this 773-nucleotide long non-coding RNA. RefSeq lists it as uncharacterized. The record is from RefSeq and is a predicted model, not a curated record. Lineage: Eukaryota; Metazoa; Mollusca; Bivalvia; Mytilida; Mytilidae. The transcript is spliced from 6 exons.
CCCCUCCCUUCUUUAAUUCAUAAAAAAGUCCCUACGGCAAAGCUUUUGUCCACACUAGGUACAAAUGAUAGGCAAUUGCCUAAGGUUGCCUGGACCAAAGACCCAGGUGGGUAAAGUUACGGAACUUUUUUAAUUGAGGUCCAAAGUUGGGGUAGGGUGAACCAACCCCCUCCCUUCUUUAAUUCAUAAAAAAGUCCCUACGGCAAAGCUUUUGUCCACACUAGGUACAAAUGAUAGGCAAUUGCCCAAGGUUGCCUGGACCCAAAGACCCAGGUGGGUAAAGUUACGGAACUUUUUUAAUUGAGGUCCAAAGUUGGGGUAGGGUGACCCAACCCCCUCCCUUCUUUAAUUCAUAAAAAAGUCCCUACGGCAAAGCUUUUGUCCACACUAGGUACAAAUGAUAGGCAAUUGCCCAAGGUUGCCUGGACCCAAAGACCCAGGUGGGUAAAGUUACGGAACUUUUUUAAUUGAGGUCCAAAGUUGGGGUAGGGUGACCCAACCCCCUCCCUUCUUUAAUUCAUAAAAAAGUCCCUACGGCAAAACUUUUGUCCACACUAGGUACAAAUGAUAGGCAAUUGCCUAAGGUUGCCUGGACCCAAAGACCCAGGUGGGUAAAGUUACGGAACUUUUUUAAUUGAGGUCCAAAGUUGGGGGUAUGUCACCUUUUUAAUUUAAUUCAUAAAAAAAGUUGCGCACCAUACAUUGAUAGAUAAUAUAGUUCUCAAGCCUUUAACAAAAAGAAAAACGAAAUCCGCUUUUUCAAGAAAAAAUCA